Molecule: small nuclear RNA, 254 nt
Filed under: Erinaceus europaeus (western European hedgehog)
Lineage: Eukaryota; Metazoa; Chordata; Mammalia; Eulipotyphla; Erinaceidae
Description: 7SK RNA
Rfam family: 7SK RNA
About the family: 7SK was discovered as an abundant small nuclear RNA in the mid-70s but a possible function has only recently been suggested. Two independent studies have found that 7SK RNA binds the CDK9/cyclin T complex (known as elongation factor P-TEFb). P-TEFb activates transcription by phosphorylating the C-terminal domain of RNA polymerase II.
Source: Rfam by way of RNAcentral
GAAUAUGAGGGCCUUCUGGCUGCAACAUCUGUCACACCAUUGAUCACUGACUGGCUUGGUGGGUGUCCCCUUCCUCCCUCACUGUUCCACAUGUGUCCCUCUGGAAGCUGUGGACUCAGUCAAAGAGGACAACCCCCCCCCCCAAAGAAUGGACCACUCUUUGUUCAAGGGUAUAUGAGUAGCUGGAGCUACCUGCUAGAACCUUCUAACAGCUUUCAGAAAAGGAGGGAAGUGGGGAGACAGAGAAGCAGAGG